AUGAACGCUGGCGGCGUGCCUAAUACAUGCAAGUCGAGCGAACAGACGAGGAGCUUGCUCCUCUGACGUUAGCGGCGGACGGGUGAGUAACCCGUGGAUAACCUACCUAUAAGACUGGGAUAACUUCGGGAAACCGGAGCUAAUACCGGAUAAUAUAUUGAACCGCAUGGUUCAAUAGUGAAAGACGGUUUUGCUGUCACUUAUAGAUGGAUCCGCGCCGCAUUAGCUAGUUGGUAAGGUAACGGCUUACCAAGGCAACGAUGCGUAGCCGACCUGAGAGGGUGAUCGGCCACACUGGAACUGGGACACGGUCCAGACUCCUACGGGAGGCAGCAGUAGGGAAUCUUCCGCAAAGGGCGAAAGCCUGACGGAGCAACGCCGCGUGAGUGAUGAAGGUCUUCGGAUCGUAAAACUCUGUUAUUAGGGAAGAACAAAUGUGUAAGUAACUAUGCACGUCUUGACGGUACCUAAUCAGAAAGCCACGGCUAACUACGUG
This 496-nucleotide ribosomal RNA is filed under the name uncultured bacterium. RNAcentral describes it as "partial 16S ribosomal RNA". It matches the Rfam family "Bacterial small subunit ribosomal RNA", at positions 29 to 507 of the family's 1533-position model. The record is from RNAcentral.